UUUGUCGCCGUAGUCCACAUUUCGUGUAUCGCGACAUCCCAGAAUCGGCGGGCGAUGCAGCGCACGUUGCGUGUCGAAGUGAGGUCGUAUCGAUUUUCCGCCCUUACGGCGACGCAGUCGUGCCGUCGCGCAGCCGCCCGACGAUUGCGGACGAAUCAGCGGAAACGCAGCCGCGCAUACGAAACGACGUUUCCUAAAGAAGGAAAUUUCGUGUACGCGGGAAAUUUUAACUCGACAACGUAAGAUGUCUGCGAUCUGAAGUUGUCCCCUACUGUUCCUGCUGAUCUAAAGAGACGCGUGAAAUUUAGCGAGUGUUCACGUCGUAAGAAGGAAAUGGAAUUACGCAAGCGUACGUUGUAUAAAAGUAAGAUAAAAUAAUGAGAGCUAUAUAAAAAUAAAAUAAAGUUCUUAUCGAUUGCAAGUCGAAAAGUAUUGUUUAUUAUUACUUAAUGAAAAAGAAGCUAGUUUGCGUUCAACUUCAAAACGAUAUACUUUUCAUAUAUUGAUCUGUGCAUAAUUUCAUCUUCGAUAAUUAACUGUGAGGCUAUCGUACCAGCGCGACGUUAAUACAAUGUCGCCGUUUCAUUCUCUAAGAUAUAUUUUUCACUCAUGUCGAUUCGAUAUUGUUUUCCCUGCGGAAAUACUCAAGUAUACGCGUGCUCCAUAUUUCACGCGCGGAAAAUUCACGGAGAUGCGAAUCGGAACGGAACGUUACGUGAUUUGAAUCGUUCCGUUUCCCGCGCUUAACGCGGCAGUUGCCUGCCGCUGGCGCCGCGACGCGUCCCAUUGGCCCGGCGCUGUCAUGUGGGCGACGUGCAGCGGGGGCCACGUGACUCCGCGCUACCGCGCUUCACUUCACUGCGCUCAUUCGCGUUCCAAACGUGGUGGAGGAUACGCGUUUGUGUAUGUGCGCGCUCUAGAACGGGACGUGUGACGUGAAAGCACUCUGCUCCGCCGCUGCUUACAUCGUAUCCGGCCGCGGGAUCCAUACGCGGUCGUCGUCGACGUCAUCGUUAGUGCCGGUGCUCGGGGCACUCCUCCAGUCGAGGAAGUCACGCCGUCGGCGGACGCCAGUCUCGUCGGGUUUCUUAUCGAUCCACUUCAAGGCCGCGGUGAGAGCUGCUCGCCGUUCCGGUCCCGGCGGACCAACCAGGAGAGGAGGACGUGAUCCCGUCGCCGGUAUCCCGAGGCGCCGGCGACCACCGGAGGCGGAUAGGCGGAUUCGCCGAGUGGUGAGAGGAA
Molecule: long non-coding RNA, 1242 nt
Organism: Monomorium pharaonis (pharaoh ant)
Lineage: Eukaryota; Metazoa; Arthropoda; Insecta; Hymenoptera; Formicidae
Exons: 2
Source: RefSeq, a predicted model, not a curated record